This 216-nucleotide unclassified non-coding RNA is filed under the name Hevea brasiliensis (rubber tree). The record is from RNAcentral. Lineage: Eukaryota; Viridiplantae; Streptophyta; Magnoliopsida; Malpighiales; Euphorbiaceae.
AAAUAUCAUGAGAAUUCAAAAAUUGACGAACAAUUCAACUAUUAGCAUGAUAAGACAGGCAUGCCAAGUACUAAAUUCUACUAAGUUGACUUCAGGCUGAACUUUAGACAUCUAGAGAGACAGGGUACAACACCUGUUUCGUGCUGAUAUCCUUAAUAACAAAGAAAUCAGGGGGAAGACUCAAUAGAUACAUUAUUUUGAUGAGUAAAGGUAGAA